CGUGGUAUCCUGUCUGAAUAUGGGGGGACCAUCCUCCAAGGCUAAAUACUCCUGACUGACCGAUAGUGAACCAGUACCGUGAGGGAAAGGCGAAAAGAACCCCGGCGAGGGGAGUGAAAAAGAACCUGAAACCGUGUACGUACAAGCAGUGGGAGCACGCUUAGGCGUGUGACUGCGUACCUUUUGUAUAAUGGGUCAGCGACUUAUAUUCUGUAGCAAGGUUAACCGAAUAGGGGAGCCGAAGGGAAACCGAGUCUUAACUGGGCGUUAAGUUGCAGGGUAUAGACCCGAAACCCGGUGAUCUAGCCAUGGGCAGGUUGAAGGUUGGGUAACACUAACUGGAGGACCGAACCGACUAAUGUUGAAAAAUUAGCGGAUGACUUGUGGCUGGGGGUGAAAGGCCAAUCAAACCGGGAGAUAGCUGGUUCUCCCCGAAAGCUAUUUAGGUAGCGCCUCGUGAAUUCAUCUCCGGGGGUAGAGCACUGUUUCGGCAAGGGGGUCAUCCCGACUUACCAACCCGAUGCAAACUGCGAAUACCGGAGAAUGUUAUCACGGGAGACACACGGCGGGUGCUAACGUCCGUCGUGAAGAGGGAAACAACCCAGACCGCCAGCUAAGGUCCCAAAGUCAUGGUUAAGUGGGAAACGAUGUGGGAAGGCCCAGACAGCCAGGAUGUUGGCUUAGAAGCAGCCAUCAUUUAAAGAAAGCGUAAUAGCUCACUGGUCGAGUCGGCCUGCGCGGAAGAUGUAACGGGGCUAAACCAUG
Molecule: ribosomal RNA, 765 nt
Filed under: Escherichia coli
Lineage: Bacteria; Pseudomonadati; Pseudomonadota; Gammaproteobacteria; Enterobacterales; Enterobacteriaceae
Description: partial 23S ribosomal RNA
Rfam family: Bacterial large subunit ribosomal RNA
Source: RNAcentral